Non-coding RNA from Cricetulus griseus (Chinese hamster), 431 nucleotides. The record is from RefSeq and is a predicted model, not a curated record. Lineage: Eukaryota; Metazoa; Chordata; Mammalia; Rodentia; Cricetidae.
UGCAGGCACCCUUGGAAGCUAACGAGCGCUUCUUUUGGAGUUCUUUCUGGUCACAGGAGCUGAUUUCAGAAUAUUAAAAGCCUAAACAUCAUAGAGGUCAUGGUGGAAGUCAGUGGACACAGUUCACACCAAACAUCUGCUGUGGAUUUCAAAUAGAGGAAUGGCUUGCAGAUGGAGGCACCCUGUCAUGCCAGUCCACUAAUUUAAUCGUGGAUGCUGAAAAUGCUGUCUGGAAGCUUCCAAGGAUGCACCAUACAACAUUUAAGUUGUGGUGUAAUGAUCAUUGAUAUGUUCGUUGUGUUCAGGAGUAAAUAAGAGCACAGAAAAGAGUGACAGGGACUGAGAGCAUGGAAAGGAAAUUGGAAAGUGAUGCCAAAAAGCAGAUGAGUGUAGGGGAACAAUAGAUGUGUGAAACCCUUCAUGUCACCACC